Molecule: long non-coding RNA, 11482 nt
Filed under: Musa acuminata (dwarf banana)
Lineage: Eukaryota; Viridiplantae; Streptophyta; Magnoliopsida; Zingiberales; Musaceae
Description: long non-coding RNA (MACU_LNC003480)
Source: RNAcentral
CGACUUGAAUCAAUCGAAGAGGGUCAAUGCAUUUGAAGCGAUUAAUUAGUGAGGUCAAUUCAGUUCGGUCGAGUCGAUUUGAUUCUAACUCGGACCCGAAGUCAUUUACCGAAUCGGUUCAUGAUGUCAACCAUAGACUCUCGUAUCCGAUCGAAAUCAGUUUGCGUUGGUCGAUCACUUUUAACCUAUUUACAUAUUUAUCACACUACUAAUAGGUUAAGAUAUAAAAUGAUUAUGGAUCGUCCUCGCGGCCUCUCGCCGUCGCUGCCUCCGCGGCCUUUCCACGAGUUCGAUGCUGUCGCCUUCGAGCGCGUGUUUCGCGCCUGCCUUAGCUUCGUCGUGGUGGGGCGGGAGGCAUUUUAGGAGUUGAUCGGCCAGGGGUGGUUCCUCACCCACAAUGCCACGAAGUGGUUCCUCACGUCAGGCGCUGGCAGCUGCCGAUGGUUGUCACCAUCGUCGCCUUCGGGGUGGAUGCGAAUGGGUUCCAACUUUUGUGAUUGAAGAAGAAGAUAUCUACAUGCGACAUUUAGGGUUUGGCUUUCGUGGUCUCUCCCUCUCCGUUGCUUUUCAGGAGUACUUUUGGUACUUACAAGAUUGAUGACGAAGAGGAUGGCAAGGCCAAAUACAGUAAUUUGGAUUUUGGAGAUCAUCAAGCUCAAGCGCUUGUGAGAAGGUUUAUGAUAAAAGGAAAAGAAAAAUCCCAUAUUAAGGUAAUUGGAGAGUUUGAUAGGAUAGGGCCAUGGUAAAAAAAGAUGAGGGAACAGUUGAGGAGGCUGGGGUACGGAGGAAAUGAUGGGUAGGUAGAUGGGAUUUCGCCACUAAACUUGUGCUCAAGCAAGUGUCGGAGUGGGAUGUGAAUUAUGACCAUGUCACUAUGAUGCCAUAUUUUGUUACUAGUAUGCAGGCUAGUAGAUUUAGGAAAGCCAAGACUGGAGCUGCUAAAUGGUAGGCUUGUAAAAUCAUAUGGCGAUAAUUUUAUGUUGUUAUUGAUGUCAAGCUGGAAGAGGCUUGUGUCUUGGAGUAGAUUGUGGGUAGGAAGAGGACGAGAAGAAAGAAGCCUUAGGAGGAUAGGCUUGAUUGGAAGGACUGCAUUAUCAAACUUUUGCUACUUCACCAAGAGAAUGAGGAUGAUAUAGAGUAACGAUAGUAAGACAUAUUUCUAGAGAUGUCUUAAAUUGAUAAGUGCUGAAAGAUGAAAACCAAAUAGUUGGUGGGAUUUGAAUGUUUGGGCGCCCCCUGCCAAUUGUGUGUUUUAUACAUAAAUUGCUGACAAAAAUAUUUCUCUUUUUGGCAUGGCUAUUUAUAUAUCAACACAUACAUAUAAAUUGAAUGAGCAAUUGCUUAAGACACUUAAAAAUUGCUUUUUACCUAAGUAGCAAUAGUCUUACAGUACUUUGGUUUUGGAUGUAUUGUUUAUCUUUGCUUCAGUUGAUCAUAUAAAGUGAAUUUAGGGUGCUGAUUGAAAUACUAUGAAUAAAGAAAUUCCUGAUUUAAUGUCUCAGUUUAAAGUAAAAGUCAAUUCUUUUUUUCUUCCCUUUGGAAUUUGCAUAUGAAAAAUAUUAUUUAGUGAAUCAGGUUAAAGUUUUUCUUUUUUAUAGUAUUGUUUAGAAGUUUUACUUGGGAAAAUUAGCUUGUAAAUUUGUAGAAUUCAUAUUUAUGAUUCAUAAAUAUAUAAAAAAUUCUCUGUAAGUCAAUUGUUUCUAACUCUAUUAGGAAAUGAAUUCCUUAAGUACAUAAGUUUCAGUUAAUGGGAGAAUCAAGGGAAAAAAAGCUCUGUCGUCACUACACCUUGUUUCAUCAUUCCUAGAAAGCUAGAUGGAAACUGUGUUUUCUUUUAGAUUUAUAAUUCUGAACUCAUAUGUGAUAAAUGUGGGCAAAUAUCAAUAUAUGUAUAAAUGACAGCAUUUUUGUAAUGUUUUCAGUCCAAAUGCUAAAAAUUAUAAUGCAAAAUUUAGGAAUGGCUAGUAAUAAAAAAGAAUAAUGGAAACAACCUCUUGGGAGGGACAAGGCUAUGUAUUUGUGGGUGCUGAUGUACAAGGUGCCCAUAACAAUAAAAAAUAUCAAGACAGAGAAAUUCUAAUAUGGUUCUGGCAUAGAUGAUAUCAUUAAGGAAAUAAGGUGGUUACAUCGGGACUGCCUCAGAUCUUGUACAUAACAUCUGGUGGAGUUUCUUUUGUUGUCCUUUUGAUUCUAUUGUUGUUUCUAAUUUCUAGAUUAAGUCUUCAUGUUAUCUCUACAAAUAAAAAAAUUUAGGAUGGCAUGAAUUAUGUAUUCAGCAUAGCAAGGGAGACUGAUAAUUGGAUGUUUAUAAGCAACAAACAAUGUUAAAUGGGUGUAUAUAUACAAGAUCAUAAUGUGAGUAUGACAUGCAAAAAUAAUGAAAUAUUCUGACCGAGGAGCUUUUGUUGACUUAUCAGUGUCAUUUAGCUCCAAGCAUAUGCAACUAGAUUUUCCUUAAAAUGCCAAGAUCCAGACAUGCUGCUUGCAGAAAAGACAUAAAAAUGAGCUUUGUAAGUACUGAAACAGUGAAAUCUGAUGUUGAAGACAAUUAUGUGAGGUUCUAUGACACACAGUAUUGAGUAAAAGAAUUUAAACUCUAAUUGAGAAUAUGGUGUCUAAGACUUAUCAGUUGUGUCCCCAUGGCAAUGUAGAAGUGUGGAUCUGUUCACAAAAAGUUUGAUGCACUUGCGAGGAUUUAACUCUUAAAGAAGAAUUACAAUGGUUAAAAGAUUCAACUGGUAGAAAGGCACAAGACUUUAUGAAUCUUUAAAAUGUUUCAAUUGUUUAUUGGAAGAUUUGAUCUGUUACUAGUUCUAUAAUCUGGCUGCAUUGAUGGAGCUAUAAGGUUGACAGAUGGCUGCUAAAAGAUAGUUGGCAGGAAAAAAUUCUGUUAUACUUAACCCAAAAUCAAAGUUCCUGAACUCAUUUCCCAAUUGAGUCCGAUGAUGUAGAAAUAAGUGUACACUAUGAUAUUGUGGGUAGAGUAGUUGACAACAAUGGGUUAGUGAAUAAAGAAUAUAAGGAAGAAUCAGAAGCUUGUUUUACCACAGAUGUUACUGAUGCCUCUUAUAUAGCAUGCCUGUUAUCUGGCAACCAGGUUAACAGACUUCUAGUAGGCUUUUGGCAAAAAUUUAGAGGUUGCCUUUUCCAAACUUGUGAUAUCAUGGAAAAUCCUAUAAAUUUGAUAUCAUAGAUUGAUAGAUACACCUAAAAUCAACAAAUUUCCGUAAAUAUCUUCCAGAGUGCAAUAGAUACCCUUCUUAUGUUGAGAAAAUUCACGAAUAACUCUAUGUCUAGUGGCUAUAUUUAAUUGUAUCUUAGCAGGAAGUCACUCUUCUGUUUGACUAUCUUCUCUUUUGGGCUAAAGCCAUGGCUGUGAUUCUUACCGAAGCUGGCUGUUCAUAAUUCACUUUCUUAGUUUAGUCCUUUGAUAUUGCUACAAAUGAUUUAAACAUAUUUUAAAUGAAUAAACUUUUUAGUAGGAGGAUAUAGAAUCAAAAUAAAAAAUCAUCUUCUAAUGUUUGUCCAAGUACAAAUGGCCAGAUUCCUUGUUUAUUUGUUAAAUGCAUUGUUCAGAAUUCAGAUAAAAGUGCAAUAUAUUGCUGGAAUUUUUGGCAGUACUUAAUUUACUUUAUUAUGAACUUCUGAAACUUUUACUUUAGGGAUGGCAAUUUUGGUGGUAGGUUGGGUUUAAAAGUCAAUGCGGGGUGGAGGUCAAAUUUAGGUUGGGUCACUAUCGAAUCAAAUUUAGUUGGCUCCGGAGAAUGCCAAUACAUUUCUGACUGGCUCAUGUUAGGUUUCUUUGUGGAUAAACCUGUCAAUCUGGCUGCAUAUUAAAACAAUGGCUAUUAACUGUGGAGGAACAACAUCAUCAAGGUCUCAUGCAGUUUGUUAAAAAAAACUAGAAUAAAUUUUAUAAAGGUCUAGUAUAUUUUUCAUGUAUUAUUUGCUUGUAGAUAUAGAUAGUGGACUGCCAAAACAUCAACAGGAUUUAAAAACACUUAUGCUAGUUGGUAUACAAAUUGUGAUUUUCUGUCCAAUUGGAAUUUGGAUGAAGGGGGUUAACAACUCAAGCUCAUAAAUCUAUGGUGUUUCGUUGGCUAUGUUAAAUUAUGAAACAGUUAAGUUAAACACAUUCAGUGGAAACCAAAAAUCGUGUCUUGUGAGAAAAUGAUCAAUUACAGCAUGUUGUAAACCAAAUAAAUUUGGAAGAUUCAUUUUAACUAAAUAUCUAUGCAAUAAACCUCAUGAUUACUUCGAAUUGGAACAUAUUAUACAAAUGUAAUAAUUCUCUUGAUUGUAGAUUUCUCUUAUUGAUUAUGUACUCUGAAUAACACCAAAAUCUUGUGAAUCUCAGACAGGAGAUUUUCUAAAUAGACAGCCACAGUUUAUUCUGGUGCCCUGCACUCAUUUUUGCAUAAACAAGUCAAGCAUGUUUGAUUUUAUAAUUUUAUUUAUAAGGUGAAAAAUUUAGUCUGAUUAUUAACCAUAUAGUCACUCUCAUCUUAACCUUUGCAAUAUUCACAAUCCUGUUUGCCACUGAAUUCUCAGAAAUCUUAUCUUCAUACAAAGAGUAUUGUAGAUAAUUGACAACAUUAGGAGCUUAUAGUUUCCUUUUUAUGGAAUAUUCUUUUAUUUGUAUCUGGUUAAAUUUCAUAUUUAAAACUUGCUGCACACUUAUACAAUUUACUUGUGUUCUGCAUACGAUCAUCUGCUGGAGCUCAUCCAUCUUUCAAGCAAAUUUUACUGUAUAAAAUGUUUCAUCUCUAAGGUGGUUUUUGGUUAAUCAUUAGAAUUGGAAUCGGGUUGGACUUUAAGAAUUGAGUCUAAGAUAUCUUAUAUAUUUUGAAAAAUCGAGAUCUCAUUUGUCCAACUCAAGUGAAAGAUAAGGAAUACCUUUUAUUAACUAAUUAAAUUCUUCUUUGAUAAUUAUACCUGUCACUUGAUAAUUGGCUCUUUCCGAAAUGUGUUAACCAAAUCGAGACACAAAAUCAAAAUGAGUAGUCACUUUUGAUCCAACAAAUCUACUGAGUAGCCCUAGAGGCUGAUGUAGUAAGAAAUUGAUAGUCUAUGGUAUCACAUCUUUUCAUGAAUAUCAUAUCUGCUCAAUAUUUUUUACCUUGAUGUUUUUAUUUCUGCUUUUUACAAAUAAAAAAUGAUAUCAUACAUGCAUAUGUAAUGUACAAUCAUAUAUUGUAAAAUAUGGUGAUCAGUUAUAUUUGUGUGUGGAGCACCAUUGUGCUCUUUUUUAAUAAAACGUUCUUGAUUCUUGUUAGCUCUUUAUGUUUCACUCGUAUGAUGCAUAUCAGUAAAGAGAGUUUUAAAUUCACCUCUUCCAUUAAUGACUUUGGUAUAAUUCUUGGAGGUCCUGUAUCUUUCUUGUUGGCAGUGCAAUGGAGGGCAGCUCAAACACCAACUUGUGUAAUUCUCUUGGUGGAUAGGGAGUAAAAGAAUAACCUGUUCUAAUGAAAAAGUCAUAUCUUUGAUUUCCUGUUCUAGAAGUUUACGUGAUAACAUGUUAGGUACCCAUAUAAAUUCAGCUGGCUAGAAUGUACUUUUGAAGCACAUAUGGUACAAGUGUCUGCAUGAUCUCCAAAGCUUUUAAAAGGUGUGAUGUAAGUGCUGGAUUCUGUUUUGAGGAAAGGAUGAACUUGGAUGAAAUUAUGCUUGACCAGGCAUAACACCUGAAUAGCAAAGGAGUGAAAACACGACAAUAAUCUUUGACGAAGGCCUUUGUUCUGUUUGCAUCUUGAGUGGAAAAUGCCUUCAGUUUGUUUCGUAUGGUACUCUUACCCUCUGAUUCAGUAUAGUUACCUUUUCCAGCUUCUUGAGUUAGUUACAGCUGUAUGGGUGGAAGUUUUAUGGUUAAGGAUUGUACUCGUGAAUGUAGAUGCAUUUACAAAACUCCUGCUGCAAUAAGUGACAGAUAAUGUAUGUCUUUCUACUACUUUUCUAAUAAAAGUUGGGCUUUGGACAUAUUUGAUACAGUAAGUUGCAGGAAAAGCUAUGCACAUGUCAAUGAGUUAGAUGCCUUAGAAGUUCUAUCUCUUCUAUGAUCAAAGAGAUGUGCUCUAUGAGAAGCUUGGAAACAAUAUGAACUAUGAAAUUCGUCUUGUUUUGGUUCAACUGUCAUUACAUAGGAGGCGAUGCAGAUUGGUUAGUGUAAAGAUUGGGUUGUAAAGUGGACAGGGUUGGAUGCUUUGUGGUUAUGUUCAUCUGAUUGGAUUGAAGUAAGCUUGUAUUAGGUGUGGAAUGCAGUUUAUACAUACGAGGGGAAGGAACCUGCUAAGAAUGUUUACCUGUAUCAGAGCAGCUAAUUAGCCUUGGUAGAAAUUGAUGACAGAAAGCAAUUACCAUUGUAGAUCAUUAAUGACAGAAAGUAACUACUGUAGACCUUUAAUAACUCUGAUAUAUCGAAUAAUUGGGUGAUCUACUAGGAAAAGUCCCUAUUGUCAAAAGUUACUUAUGGAUUCUUCUAGUGUUUCCAUUGCUUUUGGUUCAUAUAGCCUAAGAGUGCUUUUGCCUGUGAGGGAUGGUAGUGAAAGUUACUGCAUUGCUAUAGGUAAAGAGUUAGCAUCAGAACCUCCCACAAUUAGUACUGGUACUAGGGUCUACAAUGGUAAUUGCUUUCUGUCAUCAAUUUCUACCAAGGCUAAUUAGCUACUCUGAUACAGGUAAACAUUCUUAGCAGGUUCCUUCCCAUCCUAUGUAUAAUCACAAAAAAUACAUUUAGAUAUUACUAUCGAGAAGAUGUAUUCUUGGAUUUGUAUUCUUAAAAUUAAAAAAGAAAGAAUGCCUAAAGAAUGUUUACAAGUGUUUGUUGCUACAGUUGUUCUUAUUGUCCUUUAAUAUUGCAAUAUUCAAAGUUAAUCUGGAACUUUGCAGAUCGUUCAAUCAGAUUGACAAUGACAAAUCUCUAGGCAUGUGACAGAUGGCCUCAAUGAGCUUGAGGAAGUUGGUAAUAAGGAUGCCAAGCAAAUUUUCCUAAUGCUUAAUGGUAUGUUGAGGCAGUAAAACACAUCAUUAUCCUCUACAGUUUGCUCCAUGAAUGUCAGAUGUCUAUGAUAUUAUUAUUGAUAUAGUAUAUCAGUCAAUAUUUGUAACUAAGUUAUUGAACACUAUCGAUAAUCUUAUGGUUAUUGUUGUUCCGCAUGCUUCAGAAUCUAUGAGAUGCUCUGCUGUAAUUGAAUUUCUGGGAGUUAGUCCACACUUGUCAUAUAAGAUCAGUAGCGAAAUAUGCUUUUGUUUCAACAUGAAUUACAAGUCUUUUCAUGUAUGAUGAUUUCAUAGUUGUCCUGAUUAUGGUUUAUCAUGCCUUACUUAUGAACAAGAAGGAUGGCAAUGCUUGCUGUAAAAAUGGACUGUGCUGAUCAUAUCAUCUAGUAUCAAUGUUCUUGUUUUUCCAUUAAGAAAUUCAAUCAAGUCAUAAACUCUUGAGAACAAUGCCAUAUCUGCAAUGAUCAUGUUUUCCCAGAUCUGAGAAAACGAUGGGUGUUGAAUUUGUGUUCCUUAUCUUCAUCUUGUCCUGACCGUUGGUUUCAACUUAAGCCACUUCAACUGACCAUUACAUGCUUCUCUGAAAUUUAUGCACCUCUGUAGGUAACCUGAUGUCGAGUCAUCUCUUUGGCAUCUUUGACUAAAACAUGCUGUUGAUGGAGCCACUAACUCAAAAAGUCCUUCCAGAUGGUUUGUGGUCAUGGAUCAUCAAGUCCAAGCUCAUCCACCAUGGAAGGCAGCAGAGCAGUCAUGUUUGAACAUGAGAUUGUCUUGUUUCUCGAUCUUUUCCAUUCAGGGAAUAGAUUCUUUUCCUUUUGUAUGUUAUGUUUGGGCUCCUUUAGUCUUUGAUCAUUUGAAUCCAUUAUUCCUAGACCUUUAACUUGUACUUGCUUAUCUGCAACUACCAAGUUAUUUAUUUAGAUUCCAUUCCAUGUAGCUCCAUCACAAUGUGGGUUUUCUUUCAAAAGAAGACAACACAGCUUGGUCAAACUCUGGCAUGCCAAAGUGGUGAACCACCUAGUUAGUGAUUACUCACUUCUAGGCAUCUCUGCAUAGGCCACGCGUAGUGCCUCCCAAUUGCUCACCUGGAGCUAUUAUCCUCCCUUGGAGGACUUUGCCACUUCAAGCAUGGUGGGGGGAAGCCCUUUCCAUAGACCUUGAAGAGAUAUUUUACUUAAUAAAGGGAGAAAUGAUGAAUGAUAAAGAAUAUUGCAAAACAGUAGAAAGGCAUUGAUGAACCAAGUGAAAGGACAUUGGCGAAUUAUUUUGAGGAGUUUGCCUUCUUUUAGAGAGACGAAAAGCAGCUUUGAUAAAAUGUGACAACCUCUCAAAUUCUUGUGCAUCAACAUCUCAUUUCCUUAAGUGUAAAAGUGGAUUACCAUUGCUUCCCAACAAUGGAAACAGCCAUUUCCUUCCAAUCACUUCGGUCAGGUUUGGACCCACAAUUAGUAUUCUGAUUGAUCCGCAGAAUGCCCUGACCUCUUAAAUUCUAAAUGUAAUUGCCAAGUUGGAGCUUAACAUCAUCGAAUGAUUUUCAUAUUGUGUUAUCAAAAGGUUGAAUUUUUCUGAGUUCAGAAAUAAUAUAUAUGGAUGGUAGGUGGUUGUGUUGUUUUGUUAAUCAUAUUGCUUUUACUUUUGGAGAUGGAAGCAAAAACUCAAACUAUGCUGUUUUCCUUUGAGCACCUAUUUGUACUAGUUCAUAUUGAUGUUUUAAAAUCAUUCAGCUCAAGGGUUCUUAGUAACUCAAAACUCCUCCAUGUUUUUCCUGCAGGACCUGAAGAUGUGGCAUAUUCAUAUGAAACUUGAUCCUUGCUUGACACAUGGGUCGACAAAAGGCAGACAGAGAGACAUACAUAUAGAUCUAUAGGUUUGGCAACAUUCUGAAAAGGAAAAGGUACCUCCUCAAUGACAAUAAGCUCAUUGAGUGCUGCUCUGGAUUCUUUAGGUUUGGGAAGGUGCAACCCUAGCAUAGACUAACUAGCCUCAAGUGAAGGAAGCCAUCAGAAUUGUGGGGGACGAGAACUGGGGUGAGUUGGGCAGACAUAAGUGCUAUUGCCUACAGGAAAAGCUCAACCUCACCCGCCCCACCCCCCCCCCACCCCCCCAUCCUCUUUUGAAUGGGUUGGUAGUGGGCAACUCCAUAUUGCUUUUGGCUUUUGUGCUUUGUGUUUUGGGGGAUAAGGAGCACUGAUGUGGUCUGGGUACGGCUUUGACACGACAUCUAGAUAAGAUGGAUGAACUACUUUCUUGUUCUGGAAAUGGUCCAAUGAUACACUAUGCAACAAAAAUACAUAUGUUUUCCCUAUUGAACAAAAAAAAAAUGUUUUCUUUCAUUCGUUACCUCUCCAUCUGCUCACUGGUUUUCUUCUUUUGUAGCUGCUUGUGGACCUCCCUUGCCAUAAAAUUCACCACUUCAACCAAUGAGACAAAGUGUUGGCAUUAUUUAAUUGAAAGACAAGAUCAUACAAUUUGGCUCUUAAUGAUAGAUUGAUAGUAUUAGGACAAUCUUAAUUGAAUGCUUGUCUACUUGUCAGCCACUGAUCAUCUAAGCCCUUUCUUGAGAUGUAGUUACACCAGAUGUGCCACCUUCAUAUCUCAAAAAUACUCAGGUGCACCUUAAUGUUAAUGAUGUUUAUGCUAUCUCUCUAUUGUGGAAUAAUGUUGCCUUAUAUUAUAUCUGUGUUGGAUUACACAUCCCAGAUUCACCUGCAAAGGAGAUUGAUUAAUUUAACAUAUAGAAUAGAUUGUCUCAGCAAUAAUUCUUCACUUGUCAUAGUUUAUUGAGUUCCAACCUGGUGGGUUUAUUUUCUAAACGAGAUUAAAUUAAUCAUGAUCGUGUUAAUUAAAUAUCAGGAUGCUAAACAAACUUUAUUUGAACUUGUUUAUAUUUUUGUACGAUGAUGGUUGACGUCCUUAGAGGUUCAACUCAGUGAGAGGUUUUGAUGCUCAUGAUUAAGUGUUAGUAUUAUAAGAUCUUGAUUAGAACUUGAUAUGCUCUCCAUAAAUUAAGAGAUGUAUGAGCUGAUGAGAUGCAUAGACUGGUAUCACUAAACCAGUCGUUAUCCUACUGGUUGUUUGAUAUUUAUCUAUAUUUUUGCACUGCUGAUGACAACUACAAACUCAAACCUUUUAGGUCUUUGACUGAGUGAUGCUCUCUCCAUGCAUUUCGUUGUGUUCAUGUUUAGACAAUUAAUCCUUUGCCUUUUAGACAAUUAAUCCUCAAGUACCUUCAUGGUGUUCAUGUUUAUAUCGCCCAUUGAUUGUUUUUUCUCCCAUCUCAUUACAAGAAUCUGGUGUCUUUUUCUUUCUUAGUCGAAAUGUUAUAAGUUCAAGUUACAUGAAAAAAGAAUAAUAGUAUCAUGAAUUUAUAAAUUAGAGAAAGUUUUCAAAAGCUUCAAUUUUGGAUAUUGGUUUCGAAAUCCAAUUAUUCUGCCAUUAAAGAAUUUUUUUUUUUUUGCGCACAUGAUUAAAUGGUUUGUGUUUUAUGAUGUAGCCUAACUAUAAUGUUCCUUAAGGGUUUGUAGUUGCUGACCUUAAACAUAUCUUAAGCCAAGUAUAAUCCAAUAUUACACACUAUGAAUUGCAAUUUUUUAUAGGUAAGAAAAUAUAAAAAAUAUAAACUAACAGUUAUUAUAAUCAUUGGAUUUUAAAAUUGGUUGACUAAAAAAAGCAGGAUAUCAUGAGUUUGUAUUAUUGUCAUGUGGUUAUCAGCAUUAAAAAAAGGAAAAAAAAAUGGGUAGGAAGCUUGAUGUGGUCUGUAUAAUUAGAGGCAAGCAGUGAUGGACCUCAUCAGUUCCUUUGUUCUCUUGGUAUCCAGGUACAAGGGAGGAGGAAAUGAAGGGUAGCGAGAGGAAAAGCUUUUGGGCGUGAAGAGGGCAGUAGGGAGGUAAAUCUUUCUCAAUUUCUCAUUUACAAGCACUGCUGGAAAUUUCUUGUCAUCUGAGUAAUAGACAGAGGCCACAAUAGCAGUGUAUUGUUUCUUCAGUUAGUAGCAGACAGGACCCACACUGACCUUUUUCCACUAUAACCACUUGUUAUCAUGCAUCACUGUUGCGGCACCUCUCUUUCACAUCUAUCUCAUUCCAAAGACGAUGAGUGCGUUGCUUAAAAUAAAGUAAACUUAGUUCUCACUGGAAUAUGGAGGAAGAUGACCAUAGUAUCAGAUGCAGUAUUUUCUUGUGAAAAAAAAAUAAAAGGAAUAUGAAGGAAGACGGCCAUAAUGUGGUGCUACGUGUCAUCAGCAAAGGUAAUGAAGGCAUAGACUUUAUAGCUCGGGAUUCUCAUGUAGCGUGGGUUUAUUGGAAUAUAUGCAGUUGAUUUUGUGAAGUACAUACAAAGCUUUGUGGGAAGACAUCCAUCGGAGCUUGUCUUCAAAAAUCUGGUGGAGACAUCUGUGGUUAUUGGUAUUCUUGAUGGUGUUUUUUAUGUUACUCGUGUCUUUAGGGAGGAUGAUAAGAUCGUCCAUUGGUAGGAUGAAUCGUGGAUG